CAGUGGGGAAUAUUGGACAAUGGGCGCAAGCCUGAUCCAGCCAUACCGCGUGGGUGAAGAAGGCCUUCGGGUUGUAAAGCCCUUUUGUUGGGAAAGAAAUCCAGCUGGCUAAUACCCGGUUGGGAUGACGGUACCCAAAGAAUAAGCACCGGCUAACUUCGUGCCAGCAGCCGCGGUAAUACGAAGGGUGCAAGCGUUACUCGGAAUUACUGGGCGUAAAGCGUGCGUAGGUGGUCGUUUAAGUCCGUUGUGAAAGCCCUGGGCUCAACCUGGGAACUGCAGUGGAUACUGGACGACUAGAGUGUGGUAGAGGGUAGCGGAAUUCCUGGUGUAGCAGUGAAAUGCGUAGAGAUCAGGAGGAACAUCCAUGGCGAAGGCAGCUACCUGGACCAACACUGACACUGAGGCACGAAAGCGUGGGGAGCAAACAGGAUUAGAUACCUGGGUAGUCC
RNAcentral lists this ribosomal RNA (452 nucleotides) under Stenotrophomonas pavanii. Its description in RNAcentral is "bacterial SSU rRNA". It matches the Rfam family "Bacterial small subunit ribosomal RNA", at positions 352 to 796 of the family's 1533-position model. The record is from RNAcentral. Lineage: Bacteria; Pseudomonadati; Pseudomonadota; Gammaproteobacteria; Lysobacterales; Lysobacteraceae.